RNAcentral lists this ribosomal RNA (243 nucleotides) under uncultured bacterium. Its description in RNAcentral is "partial 16S ribosomal RNA". It matches the Rfam family "Bacterial small subunit ribosomal RNA", at positions 534 to 776 of the family's 1533-position model. The record is from RNAcentral.
GCUAGCGUUGCUCGGAAUCACUGGGCGUAAAGCGCACGUAGGCGGCUUUCUAAGUCAGGGGUGAAAUCCUGGAGCUCAACUCCAGAACUGCCUUUGAUACUGGGGAGCUCGAGUCCGGAAGAGGUGAGUGGAACUCCGAGUGUAGAGGUGAAAUUCGUAGAUAUUCGGAAGAACACCAGUGGCGAAGGCGGCUCACUGGUCCGGUACUGACGCUGAGGUGCGAAAGCGUGGGGAGCAAACAGG